Long non-coding RNA from Scaptodrosophila lebanonensis, 681 nucleotides. RefSeq lists it as uncharacterized. The record is from RefSeq and is a predicted model, not a curated record. The transcript has 3 exons. Lineage: Eukaryota; Metazoa; Arthropoda; Insecta; Diptera; Drosophilidae.
UAUAUGUGAAGCGAACUUUUGGAAAAUGCUUACGCGCAUACUUAUCGUAAUUGUUCAGAUUUUAAUCUGGCAGCACAGUAUUUAUUGUUAUCCAGGCGAUCCGCCAGUCGAAGCCUGCUCUGAACGCCCUAGCAUUAAGGGUUGUGUUACGCGCGAUCCGAAAUAUUUUUUUAUUGCAUCAGUGCAAAGGUGUUUCGAAAGAUAUGCAUGUUCAGGUGGAUUUCAUUAUCUCACCGAUUGUCUGAAUAUAUGCAGGGAUGUGGCAAAGGUUGCCGGAAAUAAGGCAAUGAAAAUUCUCUCCGAAAUUUACAAGGGCUCAGUAUUUGAAAGUCAUUUCAAGGACAAAAUAAAAAAGCAGAAGGAAAUAGAAAAAAAAGCUGAAGCUGAAAGGAAGAGACAGCUAGAAAUCGAAAAACAAAGAUUAAGGCAAGCUAAUGUUCAUCAAAUAUUUGGAAAGCAGCAAGAAAGCAAAAAAACAAAAGAAAAUCCUACAGAAAAACCAUAACUAAAGAUAAAAGAAUCCGACCAGUCAGCAUUGGAAAUCUAGAAUUUGAGGAACUUACGAUUAUAUGUUCAUCUAUGUCGGUAGAGCAUUUACAAACAGAUGCCAACUAUUUUACUUUACUAUUUACUGGCCUAUCGUUUUAUAUAAAUUAUUUAAAUAAAUAUACUUACAUUAUA